RNAcentral lists this unclassified non-coding RNA (223 nucleotides) under Glomus sp. RNAcentral describes it as "partial internal transcribed spacer 2". The stretch from base 1 to 71 matches the Rfam family "5.8S ribosomal RNA", at positions 84 to 154 of the family's 154-position model. Lineage: Eukaryota; Fungi; Glomeromycota; Glomeromycetes; Glomerales; Glomeraceae. The record is from RNAcentral.
GUGAAUCAUCAAAUUUUUGAACGCAAAUUGCACUCUCUGCUAUUACGAAGCGUAUGUCUGUUUGAGCGUCAAAUUAAAUAAAAAUCGGUGUGGUUGCUGCUUUCCGUGGUGACGCACCGGAUUUGGGUCGUCUUGCCUUCGUUAACGUGACAUAAUAUUCUGCAUGAUUUUUUCGAACGUAUUUAAAUGAUUUUACGUACGUUUGUGAUAUCAUAUACUAGGU